UACGGAGGAUGCAAGCGUUAUCCGGAUUUAUUGGGUUUAAAGGGUCCGCAGGCGGGAUAAUAAGUCAGAGGUGAAAUCCUACGGCUCAACUGUAGAACUGCCUUUGAUACUGUUAUCCUAGAGUGUAGUUGAUGUGGGCGGAAUAUGUCAUGUAGCGGUGAAAUGCUUAGAUAUGACAUAGAACACCGAUCGCGAAGGCAGCUCACAAAGCUAAUACUGACGCUCAGGGACGAAAGCGUGGGGAUCAAACAGG
This 253-nucleotide ribosomal RNA is filed under the name uncultured bacterium. Its description in RNAcentral is "partial 16S ribosomal RNA". It matches the Rfam family "Bacterial small subunit ribosomal RNA", at positions 524 to 776 of the family's 1533-position model. The record is from RNAcentral.